This 207-nucleotide ribosomal RNA is filed under the name uncultured bacterium. Its description in RNAcentral is "partial 16S ribosomal RNA". It matches the Rfam family "Bacterial small subunit ribosomal RNA", at positions 568 to 774 of the family's 1533-position model. The record is from RNAcentral.
CGCGUAGGUGGCUUGUCAGGUCCGAUGUGAAAACCUGGGGCUCAACUCCAGGCGUGCAUUGGAAACCGGCUUGCUAGAGUCUGGGAGAGGAGAGUGGAAUUCCUGGUGUAGCGGUGAAAUGCGUAGAUAUCAGGAGGAACACCGGUAGCGAAGGCGGCUCUCUGGAACAGUACUGACACUGAGGCGCGAAAGCUAGGGGAGCGAACA